GAAGUGCGAUAAGCAAUGCGAAUUGCAGAAUUCCGCGAAUCAUCAGAUCUUUGAACGCAAAUGGCGCCAGAGGGAUAUCCUUUUGGCAUGUCUGUUUCAGUGUCUGAGAGGUUUCAUCUAUAUCUUAAUGUGAUUGACGAGGAGAGUUUCAAAAGAACAUCUCUAGUCUCUCAUGAAAGAUGCGCGAGUGGAUCUUUCGAUCCAAUGAAGUGGUCACAUCACUCGCAUGUGAUUUCAUUGGGAGUAUCGAAUUAUCCGUCAUCUCGUGUACUUACUUUAAACACUCCAUACCCUGCAUCUGAGAUAGGCAAGAUCACCCGCUGAACUUAA
RNAcentral lists this unclassified non-coding RNA (330 nucleotides) under uncultured fungus. RNAcentral's name for it is "sequence contains ITS1". The stretch from base 1 to 105 matches the Rfam family "5.8S ribosomal RNA", at positions 50 to 154 of the family's 154-position model. Lineage: Eukaryota; Fungi. The record is from RNAcentral.